Non-coding RNA from Zootermopsis nevadensis, 7707 nucleotides. NCBI's taxonomy places the organism in Eukaryota, Metazoa, Arthropoda, Insecta, Blattodea, Termopsidae. The record is from RefSeq and is a predicted model, not a curated record.
UCGGUCUAGUUUCAGAGCAUGAACUUUCAUAACCAGCUUGGUUUCUAUUAAUAUUAUUCAGCGUAUGAAAAGAGUGUAAACAUUCAGUUCAUGUAUCACCUCGUAAUUCCUCCUCCUCGUAAAUUCUACCCCGUCUUCGUCCAACUUCGGUCUAAACCUCGCUAACGCUGCCCCCGUGUUAACUUGGGCCGUAUUGUUUUUCUCGUAUUUCACUGUUUAUGAUAUUGCUCUUGGACACCAUCAUGGAAUCAAAACGUAAAUGUGAAAGUGAUAAUAAAGCAAAGAAAAGUUUUAAGCCUAUUACAUUAGAUGAGGAAAUGAAAGUUCUAGAUAAGUUGCGGGGUGGUAUGAGCACAGCAGUCAGCAUGCAAUUCUGUUGACAUUUUGUUUUUUAGUCUAACUUUCCGUUCACAUUUUGCUUUAAUGCUUAACUUAUCGACUUUACUUUAUUGUGUUUAUUACACAGCCUGUUCAUAAAUAACAAAACAUAAUUAUUUUGACUUUAUACGGCUGUAUCCCCGUAUUUUCAUUAAUCCCAUGCCAUAUUAAGUCCGCCCAACGCGGUUUCACCGAACGCGACGCUUUCGAGUAAUGUAUUACCCGCGUUGGACGAGGGUUUACUGUAUUUCUGCACGCGUUGUACCAAUAAGCGAAGCUGUUAAACACACAUGUUUCUGAAACUGCAAGAGGUUUUCAACGUCAAAGAUUAAUGUACGUAGUUUUAUUAAUCACAUAAAAUUUUGUACACACUGAAAUCCCCAGCCGAGGGUUUAUCCAACACGCAGAUUAGGAUACCGAUUUAUUUCCUCGAUAGCAGUGUUUCCCAAAGUGUGGAACGUGAAAAGUUUCAAGUGGUACGCCACAGUAAAUAAAUUACUAAAAUUGCUUCAGAGUCCUACCUACUUUUAAACGAACACAGACAAAGAAAAUUCAACAAAUUCGUGAAUACUAAUAAAGAAUUAAUUCUCUGGAAUUUCUUACCUUAUCUAACAGCCUUUUUUAGUUCGUACCUAAAGCUUCAACAAAAUGUGGUUUGACCGCUUAGAGUUAACUACUUCUGAUACAGGUUGAUCGAAAAGUCAUGAAACCCAUAUUAAAAUAUUUGUUUAUGAUUGCAAUUCGAAACAAUUCGAUUGGAUUAAUAAACACACAUGUCGGUGUGACUAUACAUGAGCCCACACGGGUCUCGCCAUGUUGUAACCUACUCGCGCCAGUCCGUCAGUUGUCGUUCGACAGUCGAAGUGCAAGACUGGCCUCAAAUGACAUACUGAGUGGAGGCGACAUCUACGCGGCGAACACCUCGCGGACUCUUGGAGCCAGAGGCUUUUAGAGAAGGCGUCGAGGCACGAUGGUUCCUGCUCUGCUUGCACACACGUGAGGGCCCUAAAAGCAGUUUCGAUUGGCACUCCAUGAUUGGGGUUGUGAUCAAAGUGCGCGGAUGCAUGCAUGGAUGAUGCAAGGUCGGGCAAAUCCAUGGAUGGAUUGACGGAUGUGUUUUCGGGUGGAUAGGUUGGUAACUCGGUGGUAAGCUGAAUAACUCUGGUAUCAAGGAAGAUUCUGCGCUGGUAUCUUUGCAUAAUGGAGUGUGUGAACUGCAGACAUGAUGUAUUUCAUAUGCCGAGACGUUAUAAACAAGUCUAUAAAAUCUGUAUGAAACGCGAUGGUGUGUUGGAGGCAAAGUUGCGCGUCUGAGGACUUCAGUAUAUUACACCCGAAUACUACGACAAAUGUUAUUCAGAGUUGGAAACUAAAUUGUAUUACUGAUAAUAAAAAUAUAAGGUAGAAGAACUAAAAAGAAAGGUCUCCAGUUUUAUCAGACCUCUUCCUUACUCACUGAAAUGAAGGAUUACUGUGGAAACGUUAAAAAUUUUCUGAAUUACUUUUCUGCAUAAGUUAGAUAACGUACGCAUGCUUAAGCAACCAUUUAUUAUAGAGUUGAGGACGGGUGAAAUAGAACCUAUUUUCAUUUUCUAUCUCAGAAAUGAAUGAAGUAGAUAAACUUUAAUGAAGCCGUACGGUGACCUGAUAAUAAAGUUUAAUUAACACUGCAAGAGCUUCUGAUGACAAUAUGGCCAUUUCAGUUUUGUUUGAACGCAAUCUGGCACCGUUAUGAUCGUGUGUGUCACAAGCGACUGGAAAACAGCUGAUACCAUUUUUCAUGCAGUCACUUGAAUGCGAGUGACAUUGCCACGUGUUUGCUAACAUAAAUAAAUUCCUAUUACUAUGAUUAAUGAUUUAUACAUUUGGUCCACUUCAAAGCAUCAAAGUGACGCCACAGGCAGCAAUGGGUUUUAGCAUUCAGUAUAACAUCUAAAUUCUUCCUUAAUUUAAACAAUUUUCAAAGUUCGCAUUCAUAAAGUAGGUAAGAUUUCGUGGUUCUGUUCAACGAUAAUAACAUAUUUGCGUGAAUGAUUUAAACUAUAUAGGGAACGAAACUUGGCAACGCCUUGAACUUCUAUACUUAUAUUUUUUAAGCUUCGCGAAGAUGGCAAAUGGCUGCAUAUGAGAAUCGUAUUUUUGUAACAACCCUUAACUAUUUUUAUCCAAAUAAUAUUUAAAAAGUCAGGUCCAAAUUCAUCGAAAAACACAACGCUUCUCCAUUACGAAUCGUAUGAUCGGUUAAUGCUGUUUAUGGACAUAAUCUCUACCAAUUUUGGGAUCAUACAAAACCCAGCAAUAAACUCUGCAGAUAAAAUGCAUAACUGGGUGGUACAAAAAGUUACCAAUGUGAUUUAAAAUCUUAAAGGUUAGCACAAGAAAGAGGUGGAUUCCUUCUAAAACUUUUUUCCCUGCAAAGAGCCUACCUAAAACGACAAAACAUAUAUCCCAUUCGUAUUAAGGCUCACUGUUCAUACCUUCAGAAUACAGCAACUUCUAAUCAUACUUGGACUUUCUGACAAGACUAACAGUGAAAUCGUUCGUAUUAAGUUUAGUGAUUGUUCACAGACAACCAACCGACUUAACAAAAGAAUCACGCAAUAAAUGUAAAGUCUUAAAUAUUUAACUGUAAAUGUAAAUCUGUUCAAACACUAAAUUAAGCAUAUAAGCUUGAAUAGUCGCUGGAAUUACAAGUAGGCGACUUUUCUUGGGAACAGUAAGAAAUAUGAACAUUGAGCGCAAAGCCUCUAUUCCGAGACCGCAGUCUGAUUUUGGUAGACGUGUACCACUUGGGUCGUUGGCCUUUCAAAACGAUGUGACACUGGGUUCGAGAUUUCAGAAAGCAGUUAAUUUAUUGGUGAAGUCAAAUUGUUUAUAAGAUUAUUUUCGUCAAACCCUUAAAUUAAUGAACAGGUAUAAUGUUUCUUAACAGCAGUAAGUAAAAUUGCACUGUUACACGCUAUGGAGGCGCUUGGGGGAGAGUAGUUCAGCUCCUACUCGCUCUUCAAGUCGGAACUAGAUGGGAUGUGAAUAGUCAGUGUCACGCUCCGGCAAAGAUACCCAGGUUAUGUAUCCCGAUUCGUGACCUACCUUGCAGAGGCGUGGGGUGAACAUCGGAUGAGACUUCCUGCGAGGUCGGCGUCAGAGCACCACUGACCGUGACGUCAGCAGUGCUGUGUCUUCCUGCCACAGGGUUGAGAACAAUAUGCACCUUGAAUGAAGAAGAUUGACUUGGCGUAUGUAACAUGAUGCAAGAACGGAAAUGUGUGCUGCAGUCUAAGCGCAAAGCGCAUCCUCAUUGGUCAUAAUGGUCUAGAGUUGUCAACAAAUUCAGUCCUCACUCAGUAUGGCCAAAAAUAUUUGUUCUUGUGACAACAACGGAGCGAGUGCGCCAGAACUAUGUGUACGUUUUCUAACGGGUUCUGUGUUGUGCUGUCCUACGCAGUACAGCAUUUGCAAUGGGCCGAUUCCCCAUCCAAGGAGUCCUCAUAGUUUCAGAUAAAUGUCAACUAAAUUGAAACAGGCCACAAGGCAGAAGUUGCAGAUUACGACGAAGAAAAUUUUUUGUUAUAUCUGUUCAGAGAAAUAAAAUAUUAUGCGUAAAUGGACUGACCCACGUAACGUCUCAAAGAAAUAUUUUACCUUAAAACGAACGCUGUCCUGUUCAGGUUUAUGCAACGUAGAUGGUGUCCUCUCGUCUUCAUUUUCUUCAGUCAAUUCAGGCAGAGUGGCGUUGUCUCUCUUCAGUGACAUUUCUUCUAGUGACCAGUAGCCCAAGCGUAGCACUCUCGAACUAAGAACACCGACACAAUAGUCGUACGUAAUCAGUAUGUUAAGUGGUUUCAUGCAAACUAAUGAAAAGACAGAACCCCCUUGUGUGACGCAUGCGCCAUACAGAUACAACAAGAAAUAACUGAUUUAUAUCCGGUAAAGAGCGAAGUUAAUUGCUCUGGACAGCAUAUUGCUGCAACUUCAAUAUAAUACGUACACAGAAAGUGCGGGGGCCAGUUGGCAUGAUAACAAGUAGGUCAUCAAGUCUGUUUGUUAUUACAUUGUCACGUUUUAAAUUAAAAUGCGGACCAAUCAGUUACAGUUGUCUCUCACUCCAGGAUGUGAUUUUACUGUGAAGACUAUGUACAAUCUAGUGGAUCUCAUCCCGAAAUUCCUGAGGCGUGAAAAAUAUCUUAAGCUCAUAGACUGGUGAUUUAAGACGCUAAAGUCAUGGGUUGGAAUCCCGCUCGGUACAUAAAUGUCGGUCCUCCUUUUAAGAGUUGUCCUGUGUUGGUACACGCCUGGCAAUGGGCUGAUCCCUCACGCAGGGCUUCCUAAUGGUGAGUAAAUAAAUAUACAAAAUGUUGCCGACAAUAAUAAUUUACUGAGACAAAACAUACCGCAAAGACAAAAUCAAAAUAAACGUGGCAGCCAAAUCAGGAUUGAGUAGAAAUUGUGCAGAGUCAGUGGGCUGGUCACUCACUACUUCACGACCAAUACCAAGAAACCUCCGAAUAGGAGGCGGUGGAAACCCACAACAGGGUUGCAGAGCCGAGAAACAACAACAACAACAAACGUGAACAAAGCUGUGUAUAUAUUCAUGUCUUGUCAUCAUAUUGCACAACAAAAUCGCAAAUACAAAGACAACUAACAAACCCUUCCCAAACGAGUCGAAAUUUAAAUGUCUGGAAGCAAAUGUAACAAAUUCAAAUUACAUUCACGGAGAGCAGAUUCAAUCCAGGGAAUUUUUGCAACCAUUCAUUCCAUAUUUUGAUAUCUUUCUGUUUCCCACAUAAAUAACAAAAGUUGAAAAUAAUUGUACCUGUUGUUUUUAACUUCAUCUCACCACAGACCGAGUAUUUGGAUGUAAGAAAGGGAGAGUAAGGAUGUUUAUAAUGAGACAAGCUGUAAGAUCUGUACUCCUCACAAACUAUUAGCCUACUAGAGUGAUCAAAUCAAAGAGGACGAGAUAAGUGAAAUGAGUAGAACGUGUAUCAAAUUGAGAAACGUGAAAAAGUGCUGAAUUGGAAACCAGUUACCUUCCUGUGGAGAACGCCGGUUAUGAAAAUUAAGUUACCCAUUCACUGCCCCUGAACAGAGUCAGCAGACAGGUCACCAGACGUCUGCACUACUAAACUGUCAUUUGGAAUAUAGUCUGUGUGCAUUUCUCGAGACACUCCCAUAUAAAAUUAAAAGUCAAAGAGUCAAUAUGAAUGUCAUGUGUGUGUGUAUAUAUCAAGAAUUAUCAUUACUAAAUAGUAAAGCUCUAGUUACAAAAUGCAGAGGUUAAUGAAAGGCGUAGGUUACAGGAAUUUUAACGCUUUAAGGUUUUUCUUACCCCCAGAUGCCACCACUCUAUGAGAUGCUUGCUUAUUUUACAACAAAUUCUAUAUUGUUUUCUAUUAUCAGCAUUGCUUUACAUUCUGUAUGGGAAGCAACCUCUAGAGUGAUUAAAUAAGAUACAAUACAAAUUUGUUUUCAGACCUUAGUUAAUUUAUUGCAGUAGAGGUCUUGUGACCAUGGUAGGAACACACACACCAUGCCUUGGUACAAGCCAAACCCUGGUCAACCAGUCCUGCCAAAUGUCAAAGAUUCAGAAAGCUAGCAGAAAUUUCCCCAUAAAACCAAGACCCAUAUCAGUCUAUAGUUGUGUUGUGGUAUGAAUAGUUCGUUCAUUCUAUUAUGUACAAACCUAUAACUGGAGUUUCAAACAUUAUAUUUCCUAUGUUGACAGGCAUCGGAAUCUUUAAAAUUUACAGAAAACAAGUUAUACAACAUCUGGAGAUUUAUUAGAUGUAACUCCAUAAAUUAGACUGUUUCUUGAGAAGCUGACAGUCACUAAGAUGUUCAAACAAUUCCAUAAUUUUAUUGAAUACAAUAUGUUCACAAUAGCCUGCCACUAGACUCUACCUAAAACCAGUUGAAUUCAAUCCAAAAUGUAUUUCCACAAGAUACAUUUCAAUAUUAUAUAAGAAAAUACAAAAAUAACAAAUGCUGUAGCAUUAAUCUAAGAAAUCUUUUUGCUAUCAUGAAAAUGAUAAUGAACUGUUUAUUAAUAUCCAUUAAAACAAAGUGAAAAGAUGGGAAAUUGUGUCACGUAUUAGCUUAUAAAAGAGCAUCAACAAUAUUCAACAUACAUAUUUAAUGUCUCAUUAAUAUAUACACUAUACACAAAUUACACAAUUACACUGUCAUACUUAAAAUAUUCAUAAUUCACAAACACACACACUUUCUCUGAAAUGACUGCACUGACUUGAAGCUUUGGGAAUCAUUUUAUUUGCAAGCAGCAGUGUCCUUGAAAACUAUGUCAACAAGUCAGGGAAGAUUUCAGCCACUGAAAUACAAAUAAAAAUCCUUAACCAGUGACAUAAUCCCGACUGCCUUUCCCAACAUUUCAUUUUUCCAUAUUUAUAAAUUGAUAAUACCAUUUCUUGUAUGACAUACCGAACCAUAAAUUGCACAUUUAUUUAUAGUAGAAAAGACAAAUUCACUUUACCUCUGCAAGACUUUGUUUUAUACUCCCAUUCUGUAGUGGAUCCUUUGAUUCAAAUAAAUCUGUUGACAAAAAUUGUAAUAUUAAUGUAAUGAAUUUGAACAAAUAACUAGUCUAACUGAGAUUUAACAUUGUUAAUGGCUUCUUUUUAAUUAACCCCUUCUCAAAAUUGAAGUGCAGGAAUUCAUAGUAAUGAGCAAAUUACGGCUGACUUUCAUGUCUUCCUGCUAAUUUUACCGAGUUCAUUAUGAAAGCAGAUCACACAUUACUUACUGAAUGCAACACUGAGAUGUAAAAUGGCAGACACAAAAUCCCCAAAACGAAGUGUUCCAUCUUUCCUCAUGUAGCGAAGAAUGAGAAUUGAAAGUACAUCUGUACUCAACUGGAAACCUGAAACAAUGUAAAUGAAUUGCAUGAUAAUAUAUUUUCUAGAAUAAGGAGAUGAUAAGAAGUAAAUUAAUACAAAGGAAUGUAAUAUUAUAAAUGUAGCCAUGAAAGUCAAAGAUCUCUAAGAUAUAUUAACUUGGCACAUGUAACAAAAUUAUAAGACUUGUCUUCUUCUAAGUGUAAGUCAGCAUAAAAAGGUAAAGGCUGAAAUGCAAUGGACUGGAAGCUCCUGAUUAUAUCCUUAAAAAUAAUUUGAAUAUGACAGUGAUGUUGUAUUUAAUGUAUAAAAUUUGGUAACAAAUUAUAGUAACUGAAAACUUUGAGUUCAUACAGCAAAAUAAAUCAACUUCAAGGAUGAACAGAGUACUAAUGUGACACUAAUGUGCUGUUUUAUUGAAAUAUGUAAUUGUAAGCAAACUUCUCAAUGAAAGAAUUAAAAUAAUCCAAAUGCUAUCAUC